This 72-nucleotide transfer RNA is filed under the name Bolma rugosa. RNAcentral's name for it is "tRNA-Thr". It matches the Rfam family "tRNA". From Rfam's summary of the family: Transfer RNA (tRNA) molecules are approximately 80 nucleotides in length. Their secondary structure includes four short double-helical elements and three loops (D, anti-codon, and T loops). Lineage: Eukaryota; Metazoa; Mollusca; Gastropoda; Trochida; Turbinidae. The record is from RNAcentral.
GUGAUAAAAGCAGAAUAGUAUUUGCGCUGGCCUUGUAAGUCAGAGGGUAAAGAUAAGUUUCUUUUUAUCACU